GCCGUCACUGAGGACUCGCAGGUGUGCAGAUAAAGGAAAUGGAACAGCGGAGGAAAAGCUCGCCACCCCUCUGCUUCAGAAGCAAACGAGAGCUCGCAAACCAAAAUACAUGGCGGAAGGAGGGGCUGGAGCGACACGUCCGUGAGGGCGGCGGCGGCGGCGGCAGCGGCGGGUGGCGGCAGCGGCGGCGGUGGCGGCGUUUACUCACAUCCAUUCCAGAUGCUGGCUAGACUUCCUGGAGCCAGCUCUCUCGGUGCUGGGGCUGGAUUUAGUUGUCUUUCCCUCCAGGCGAGUGAAAGCGCAGUGACUCACGCCACCGAUGCAUCAUGCUGUAAGCGCUCCGUUGCCAGGCCUCAAAUGCUCCCGCUGGCCAUCGCCGCGCAACGGCUCCAAGUGUCUGCUGCCCGCUCCUCCAGGAAACAGAAGUCUGGAAGAUUCCAGAGGCUUUGGGACACUUUAGCUCAUGCGCUAAUGAGGGACGCGCAACACUGAACACAUUCAGGCUACUUUCCUCUGACUUGUGUGCUCUGUUCUACAGAGGGGUGAUUACAACUGGAAAAACAAGCAAAAAAGAAAGGCAAAUAUAAGCAAGGGAUGUUCAUAUUGGUCAAGUAUAAAGCUAUGGAUAGCCUGACAAGGCAAAUAUAAUGCAAGAGGUGCUCUAACUGGUCAAAAAUAAAGCAAGGAGCAUUCUAUUGGUCGAAACUAGA
Molecule: long non-coding RNA, 710 nt
Filed under: Scleropages formosus (Asian bonytongue)
Lineage: Eukaryota; Metazoa; Chordata; Actinopteri; Osteoglossiformes; Osteoglossidae
Description: lncRNA (ENSSFOG00015031971.1)
Source: RNAcentral